AACCGGCCAUGCCCAGGCCCCCACCCGCCAGGCCGCCAGGCGGCGAGGCGCGGCGCCCAUCUCCAUCUCUCCCUACUCAGCCUCUCCUGCACGCCGCCGCCCAUGGUACCAAACUCGACCGCCAAAGCCCCUGGCCGAGCUCCCCCAUGGCGUCUCCCCCAACCAUGGUGCUCUCUGCUCCUCCACGGCGCUGAGCUCCACCAGCCGCUGCUCUUGAACGCUAGCGCCAACCUCAUCUUUGCUCCUCUCUCCCGCAUCUCUGCAGGUCGCCCAGGUCGUGGCCUCGCCGGAUCCCGCGCGCUCCUGUGUCGUGGCGUUGUCCCCAUGUUUUCUCCGCGCCAGCGCGCCACCGGCUCUACUUGAGCUCCUCCCUCGCCGUAGCUCACAGGUCGCCACCCCAUGGCUGCUGCUCCUCUCUCCCUCAUCUCUGCAACUCGGCGCCUCCUCUACUCCUCCACCUGCAGUUCGCCCCAUGUUCUGGACGCCAACCCUCCAUCCCCCUACCCUCCAGCCAUGGACGCCCUAGCUCCCUUUUGUUGCUCGCUAGGGACCAGCUCGGUGCCCUCUCCUCACUUGAAGCCGGCAACAACGCCUUGGUAGUGGUCGAGCAGCACGUCGUCGGCUCCGUGGGUUUUUUGGGCAGCCCGGUUGCGGUGUCGUCAAACCCCGCUUGCAGUUCAACAGUUGAAUUUCAUCGAGUCCCAGCCAGUUUGAUUAUAUGAACCAGAGGCAAGCCAGGAUGCCCUAGGUGUGGAUCUCUGUUAGGCUGUGAAGCCUUUUUUAUCAUAAAGUCACUGCCUUCUCCAUUCUUGUUUGCCUAUAUUUUUGUGAGAUAUAGCCUGCCCGAGAGAGGGAGUUUUUAAAAGCGGUACAUAAAUGUGUUUCUGGUGGAGGUAAAGUUCUAAUUCCAACGUUUGCUCUGGGAAGAGCUCAGGUAUUGUAGUUCUCUUAAUUCUACUUUAUGAGACAAAGUGAUGGUUAAGUGUGAUAACUAUAUAUGACUUAAAUGAGCAAGUUUCCCUGAGAAGUACCAUUCUGAGGGCACACUGUUCGAAGGUUUCAUAAUUUGUGAUGACUUGUUCCACUUUUUAAAAAAAUCAGUAGAGUUGUCUGGACAGCUAACCUCUUGACUGCUUAUGUUUGAUUUGUAUUUGAUAUGUGCUUUUAAUUAUUUAUUAACUAGCAGUAGACUCCUAAUUCCAUGCUUGGUUAAUUACUCUGAACUUAAACUAGCUAAAUAUAGCUUAUGCAAGUUCUUAGACUGGCACAUAUCACUUGCAUCCACUGCCUGUAGCCCUGUACAUGCAAAAAUUCGUGUUAGUAGUAUGUAAUGGCCCUAGCUACAACUGCAAAUAGUACAAGGGAUAGCAGUAGAGAAAACAAAUGCGGUGAGAAUGAGAAUCAAGGUAAGUUGGCUUGCAAGCUUCUAUGCAAGUGUUUCCUGUAUCCAUAACUCUGCAAAAGUUUUGGCUAGGAUAGGAAUCAAAGGGAGAGCUAAUUCUUCCAUUGACUUGCUAGUUUGGUGGUACUCCCAACAGAAACUAAAUUGCAAGGUAAUGAACUUAACUUUAUAUAUUCCGUUUUGUGGUACUCCCAACAGAAUCUAAAAUUGCAAGGUAAUUGCAAGUGUUCUUUGCUAAUCCUCUUGACUGGUGGGAUAACAGGACAAAUAAGGUUAGACUGGGAUUGUUCAAAGUUAUAACCACUUGUCAUUUACAUGGUAACAGUUUACCUCGCAUCUGAAUAAUAAACCUUCCUUUUGAGCGCAUUCUAAUUAGCAAACAUAAAAAAACAGAGAACACAUGAGAACUCAAGAACUAAAUAAAAAAAGUUCAAAUAUUUACUGAGGGAGAGGGAUAUAUGGUCAGUAGAGUGGGUGAAUAUUGAGACGGAAAUAAUAAACAGCCAAAUGAGUUAUGAAAGGUAUUAUUGUUUUUCUAGUGAUUUAAUGCAGACGGAAAUAAUAAACAACCAAAUGAGUUAUGAAAGGUAUUAUUGUUUUUCUAGUGAUUUAAUGCAUAUUUUGUGUGUCUUUUUAUCAUGAUCCAUAUGACGUUUAAUCUGAGUAACAUGUUACUUGCACGAUUUUUUCUGAUGAUUGAUACUUAUAUGACUGACUAUUCACCCUUUAAAAUUAUUGCAGUUUACCAGGAUACAUAUUUUUGUAAUUGUUUGUGACAUGUUAGUCUUUUGUUUAACCUAUGUUCAUCCAUAGGGUUCUGCAAAACAUCCUUUUGUGAAAUGAUCCUCGACCGUCAAUUCUUUUAAAUGUUCCCUAGUAAAAUGAUUUAUUCUUGAUGGUUCAAAAGUUUCCCUAUUCCUUGGAUGUAUCAUAUGCAUCGGGGAUGUCAUAUUGAAGAAUCAGUAUAAUAAUAUGGACUAUUUGGAGGGGUCUUUAAAUGAGCUUGGAAGUUGGUGCAUAAGGCUGCAACACCGUCUAGUGAGGGUGUUUUGGACAAAGAAAACUUGUACCUUAAAACAGGAGGAUACAAGAAGCUGGAGUGGUUGUCUGAAGGCUUUUGAACUGCUUGAAGCAUUAGUGUAGCUUUGGUGCUUUUGUGACUGAUCAACUCUGGAGCAGCUAGAGUGAUGUAGUUGUGGGCUUUUGAACAAUAGCUGGAGUGAUAUGAAAUAUUAGUGAUGUAGUUGUGGGCUUUUGAACUGCUUCAAGCUGGAGUGAUGUCGUUGUGGUGCUUUUGUGACUGAUCAUCUCUGGAGCUUUUGUGAAUGAUCUAGCUAGCUAUCUGUAAAUGAUCUAGUCGUGAAUGAUAUUAUAAUUGUGAUGCUUUUGUGAAUAUAUAAUUGUGGUGCUUUUGUGUUUAUGUGA
Molecule: long non-coding RNA, 2827 nt
Organism: Zea mays
Lineage: Eukaryota; Viridiplantae; Streptophyta; Magnoliopsida; Poales; Poaceae
Exons: 4
Source: RefSeq, a predicted model, not a curated record